Molecule: ribosomal RNA, 465 nt
Filed under: Vreelandella stevensii
Lineage: Bacteria; Pseudomonadati; Pseudomonadota; Gammaproteobacteria; Oceanospirillales; Halomonadaceae
Description: partial 16S ribosomal RNA
Rfam family: Bacterial small subunit ribosomal RNA
Source: RNAcentral
CCCACGGGAGGCUGCAGUGGGGAAUAUUGGACAAUGGGCGAAAGCCUGAUCCAGCCAUGCCGCGUGUGUGAAGAAGGCCUUCGGGUUGUAAAGCACUUUCAGUGGGGAAGAAAGCCUUGGGGCUAAUACCCUCGAGGAAGGACAUCACCCACAGAAGAAGCACCGGCUAACUCCGUGCCAGCAGCCGCGGUAAUACGGAGGGUGCGAGCGUUAAUCGGAAUUACUGGGCGUAAAGCGCGCGUAGGCGGUCUGAUAAGCCGGUUGUGAAAGCCCCGGGCUCAACCUGGGAACGGCAUCCGGAACUGUCAGGCUAGAGUGCAGGAGAGGAAGGUAGAAUUCCCGGUGUAGCGGUGAAAUGCGUAGAGAUCGGGAGGAAUACCAGUGGCGAAGGCGGCCUUCUGGACUGACACUGACGCUGAGGUGCGAAAGCGUGGGUAGCAAACAGGAUUAGAUACCCCGGUAGUC